AUGCAUUGGAGAGGCUUUGGAGGGAAGAUUAUUCGCGUUCCUUCUGGUGUGAUGCAUGGAAAAAGCUCCCCAGUUCACUAUGACGAAGUUCUAGGAAAGGCCAUAUUUGAGGGCUUGUCAAACCCUUUUACCGCUGCAAGAUAUCAUAGCUUGGUCAUUGAGAAGGAAAGCUUCCCACACGACGAACUGGAAAUCACGGCAUGGACUGAAGAUGGACUUAUCAUGGCCGCCCGCCACAAGAAGUACAAGCAUAUCCAGGGGGUCCAGUUUCACCCAGAGAGUAUCAUCACCCCUGAAGGCAAGAGAAUCAUCCUCAACUUUGCGAGAUACGUCGAGGAGUUUGAGAAGCAGACCUCGGGGACUCAGUAG
Molecule: ribosomal RNA, 369 nt
Filed under: Triticum aestivum (bread wheat)
Lineage: Eukaryota; Viridiplantae; Streptophyta; Magnoliopsida; Poales; Poaceae
Description: partial small subunit ribosomal RNA
Source: RNAcentral